Molecule: non-coding RNA, 147 nt
Filed under: Platyophrya macrostoma
Lineage: Eukaryota; Ciliophora; Colpodea; Cyrtolophosidida; Platyophryidae
Source: RNAcentral
GACAUGAACAACUAAAGACGAAAAGAAGUACACGCGCACACACAAAAAAAAAAGAAACCAAAAAGCGUAAAACUCUCUGCUACCCUUCCCUUCUUUCAUUUUUUGAAGUUCUUUUCCUUUUCACAAUUUUCUUUUUCUUCAUUUAUA